UGCAUUCUUCCAUGAUGAUUUUAUCAGUUUUCUUGCAUCUACAUUUCUUAGUUCACUGCCAGAGAAUGCAAAUAGGCUUCUGGAUGAGUCACAUUAGAGUCAUCUAUGGUUCAUUAUAUGGCAAAACUGGAACAUCAAUGACAGACUCCUGGAUGGCAAUGUCUACCAUCAGGGAAGCCAGCCUGCUGCCCUUGAACUUCACUGAACUAGAUAUGGGCAAAGAACAGAUGACAGGAAGAAGUUACUAAUACAUAAAAAGGGGGAAAACAGUCCUUGGGACAUCCAGGGGCAUAACUUGAGGCAAUGCAGCAUAGCUGUGAAAUCUUCUGGGGAGAACAACAGGGUACUCAGUAAGCCAAUAUACGUGAUCAGUGUGAGCACAAUCUUUCUUUAUUUUUUUGUAUCAAAGUGUCCAAAAAUGGAUGAAAAGAGGCAGAACCACAGGCAUUAAGUUGUCUUGAAUGCAGGCAUUGUGAUUGCAACCAAGAAGAAUUUCUUGUAGUCUUCGUGGGAAAACUAUCACAGGAAGAAGAAAAAGCAAUGUCGAGUGAGAUGGAUGGUGGAAGGGGGAGAGAAACUCAGGAGGAAGACGUUUGGGUCAAGUAUGCAACAAGAGUUCAAUAAAGUUUGGACAUAGAGGAAUAUAGUGUAUUAUCAGCUUGAUGUGCGAUUGGAGAAACCAAAGGGGUCACUUCUUAGUGCAAAGUCAGAUGAAGGGGCAUCCCGCCUAAACAGCACACAACUACUGGAUGUCUGUUCUGCACCAGAUGAACUCUUGAUGAUAAAGGAGGAAUGAGCUACAUGGAAUCACUGAAUCUCAUAGUGGUUAAGGACAAGAAAUCAUCAUCAUCAUCAUCAUCAAAGAGGUUUUUGUUCCUCUGAUGCAAUACCAUUUUCAUCUCCUCCAAGACUUUCAGUCACAUGGAAACCUUUUUUUGGUGAAGGUAUUGGACUGUUCACAGGACGCAGCAUAGGAAUUCUAGCCAAUUUCUUCUGACUGUCAAGGGGCAACUGACAAUCGUGUGACAUAUGCAUUAUUUUAUUUAAUCUUCAAGAACCCUGCGGAGAUGAUGAAAUUGAGGUUUAGGCCUUGGCCUCCCAUUUUGAACACCUACAAUGACCACCUCUUCAUGUUAUAUGAAAUUGAUGCGUGUGUAUUUGAGUUCUCCAUUAACUUCCUUUUAAUCAAUUGAUACCAAGUUCUUUGAUGCCUGCCUAAAUAAAGUACAUUCAGCCUGCAUACAUACUCAUUUGUCUUCUUUCCUCUGUUAUUCCUAGACUUCCAAUCACCAACAUGAUUGGUCCACAAUAGAGAUUCUCUCACUCAAACCAUUAUGCAUAUUCAUGGAUCUUCAUUUUGGCCUGAUGUAUAGAAUAUGAUGACUGAUUCGUACAUUUACCUCAUUCCUACUUUUCUACUUUUUAAUUUUUGCUAAUGUCACACGUUCUGCUUAGCACUUGCUUUUCAAGAACCUUGUCCUUACUCAAUGCUCCUAAACUGACCACUCUUGUAUUCCCUCUGCCUUUAGAACAAUUAUGUUCUGUUUGUACUAUGUUGAAUCUAUUACUCCAUAUGCCUGCUUAAAUCUUUCUGCUCCAACCACAUUGGUCUCCUGCUGUUCCUGAAGCAUGUCAAGCAUUAAUCCUUCUUAGGGCCAUUGCACUUGCUUUCCUUCCCCUUUAACUGAAAAUAAUGCUUUUCUCUAGAUAUCUGCAUGGUUUAUGCUCUUACCUUACUCAGGGCUCUGCUCAAAUAUCACCACCACAGAGAACUCCUCAUCACUUUUACAUGGUUUUAUUUUUCAUUGUAGCAUUUCUUUCUUUUUUUAAAAUUAUUUUUAACGUUUAUUUAUUUUUGAGAGAGAGAGUCAGAGCAUGAGGGGGAGAAAGACAGAGAAAGAGGAAGACACAGAAUCCAAAGCAGGCUCCAGGCUCCGAACUGUCAGCACAGAGCCCGACAUGGGGCUCAAACUCAUGAGCCAUGAGAUCAUGACCUGAGCCGAAGUUGGACGCUCAACCAACUGAGCCACCCAGGUGCCCCUUAUUUUUCAUUGUAGCAUUUGAUAGAGGUAGCUCUGAUGUUUAUUUGUUUAUUGUUCUUUUCCCCCACUAGGGGGAAGGGCCACUGACUGUUUUGUUCACUGUUCUAUGCCCAGCUCCUAGCAUAGUGCCCUUUAUAUAGUAGACUCUUAAUUAAAAUUUUUGAUGGAGGAAUGAAUAAAUUGUAACCAGGUAUCCCCUACCAAAAAUAAAAUCCUAAGUGCUUAAAAUGUUAAGACAAUAUCUUUGAUUUUGUAACAUACCACCAUGUACUGUGAUAUAGAGGAAACCAUACUAGUUUUUGGAUAAAACUGGCCUAAAUCCCCAAAUUCUCAAAUAUUAACUGAGUGGAUCACAGUAAAUAUCUCUCUGAGCUUCAACAUAUUUAUGUGUAAAAUAUGAUAAUACCCACUGUGAUAAUUAACUUUAUGUCAACUUGCCAAGGACAUAGUGCCUAGUUGUUUGGUCAAACAUCAAUCCAGAUGCUGCUAGGAAAGCAUGUUUUAGAUGCGAUUAACAUUUAGAUAAGUAGACUUUGAGGAAAGCAGAUUACCUUCUGUAAUGUGGGCAGGCCUCAUCCAAUCUGUUGAAGGCCUUAAGAGAAAUGACUAUUGUUUCCUGAAGGAGAAACAAUUUUGCCUCAAGACUGCAACAUAAAAACCCCACCUCAGCUUUCAGUGGGGAGAUUUUGCUCUCAACAUUGCAACAUCAACCCUUCCCUAGAUCUUCAGCCUGCUGGCUGGCUCUGAAAAUUUCGGAUUUAGCCCUAAUUGUAUGAGCCAGUUCCUUAAAAUCUCAUCCUCUCCUCUCUUUCUGUCUCUACCUCAUAUCCCAGGUGUGCGAUGUGUAGGCAAUGUGUGUGCCUGCGUGUGCACACUUAUAUACCUAUAUACUACAUUGUAUUGGUUCUUUUUCUCAGGAGAAUACUGACUGAUAAACCUACCUUGCCUGACUGAAGUUAGGAUUAAAUGAGGUAUGUGUUUAAAAGUCUUUAAUGUGUUUACAAGAGCAGCAAUCAUUAUGUGGUCAGUAAAUUCUUUUGACGGGUUAACAUGUCAGUCACAUAGUAGGUGGUCAGUAAAUAUAUGAUGAAUGAAUGAAUGAACAAAUUAAUGCCAGAAAUUGGAUGACCUCUGAACAAAUAUUAUUCUAGAUAGUUGUAAAAGCUCAUGUGAUUUGGUCACCAUUAAUCAUUCCUGAACAGUCUUUGAGGCUGAAUGUAUAGCACAUUGCAUUCUCUGUGAAGAUGUAAGGAAGCUUAUCCAUAUGCAACAUCAUUCACUGAGAGUGAGUAUUUCUUUUAUAAUGGCAAAAGUACUAUUUGAGAUUGAAAGGAAGGUGGAUGCCAAAUCAUUCCAUGAAUCUGCCAUGGCUUUGAGAUAAACCU
Molecule: long non-coding RNA, 3427 nt
Organism: Acinonyx jubatus (cheetah)
Lineage: Eukaryota; Metazoa; Chordata; Mammalia; Carnivora; Felidae
Exons: 7
Source: RefSeq, a predicted model, not a curated record